This 347-nucleotide long non-coding RNA is filed under the name Gossypium barbadense (sea-island cotton). Its description in RNAcentral is "long non-coding RNA (GBAR_LNC011266)". Lineage: Eukaryota; Viridiplantae; Streptophyta; Magnoliopsida; Malvales; Malvaceae. The record is from RNAcentral.
GCCAUGGUCUCCAAGGUUGACCACAAAGGCUCCUUCCACAGGUUGGACAGUGAUCCAAGUCUUGCCAUUGUCCCGGGUGGCCUGAAGCCCACCAACUUGGUCUUGAAGCAAGAGUGUGAUGGUGCCUGGGUCAGUGUGGCGCUUGAGUCCUAAAGUGAGGUCAGGUUGAGGGCAUUUAGGAUAGAAGUUAACCACCACUUUCUGAUCCAUGUCCACACAUGCCUUUGUCAAGGCCUCCUUCUCUAAACCCAUGGCCUCUGACAACACCUCAAGAAGCUUGCAAGCUAGGCCCAUCAACUUCUCGCUGUACUCCUUUGUAACUUCAACCCAACCCUCUGGCUUAUCAG